AUUGAACGCUGGCGGCAUGCUUUACACAUGCAAGUCGAACGGUAACAGGCCUUCGGGUGCUGACGAGUGGCGUACGGGUGAGUAAUGCAUCGGAACGUACCCAGAGGUGGGGGAUAACGCAGCGAAAGCUGUGCUAAUACCGCAUGUGAUCUGAGGAUGAAAGCGGGGGACCGAGCAGCAAUGUUUGGCCUCGCGCCUUUGGAGCGGCCGAUGUCGGAUUAGCUAGUUGGUGGGGUAAAGGCCUACCAAGGCGACGAUCCGUAGCUGGUCUGAGAGGACGACCCGCCACACUGGGACUGAGACACGGCCCAGACUCCGACGGGAGGCAGCAGUGGGGAAUUUUGGGCAAUGGGCGCAAGCCUGAUCCAGCAAUGCCGCGUGCGGGAAGAAGGCCUUCGGGUUGUAAACCGCUUUUGGCAGGAACGAAACGGUGUCCGCUUAUACCGGGCGCUAAUGACGGUACCUGCAGAAUAAGCACCGGCUAACUACGUG
Molecule: ribosomal RNA, 492 nt
Filed under: uncultured bacterium
Lineage: Bacteria
Description: partial 16S ribosomal RNA
Rfam family: Bacterial small subunit ribosomal RNA
Source: RNAcentral